GAUGAACGCUGGCGGCGUGCUUAACACAUGCAAGUCGAACGGUAAGGCCUUCGGGUACACGAGUGGCGAACGGGUGAGUAACACGUGGGUGAUCUGCCCUGCACUUUGGGAUAAGCCUGGGAAACUGGGUCUAAUACCGAAUAGGACUACGGCCUGCAUGGGUUGUGGUGGAAAGCUUUUGCGGUGUGGGAUGGGCCCGCGGCCUAUCAGCUUGUUGGUGAGGUGACGGCUCACCAAGGCGUAGACGGGUAGCAGGCCUGAGAGGGUGACCGGCCACUCUGGGACUGAGGUACGGCGCAGACUCCUACGGGGGGCAGCAGUGGGGAAUAUUUCACAAUGGGCGCGAGCCUGAUGCAGCGAUUCCGCGUGAGGGAUGACGGCCAUCGGGUUGUAAACCUCUUUCAGUAGGGACGAAGCGCAAGUGACGGUACCUAUAGAAGAAGGACCGGCCAACUACGUGCCAGCCGCCGCCGUAA
RNAcentral lists this ribosomal RNA (476 nucleotides) under uncultured bacterium. RNAcentral describes it as "partial 16S ribosomal RNA". It matches the Rfam family "Bacterial small subunit ribosomal RNA", at positions 28 to 523 of the family's 1533-position model. The record is from RNAcentral.